GAUGAACGCUGGCGGCGUGCCUAAUACAUGCAAGUCGAGCGAACGGACGAGAAGCUUGCUUUUCUGAUGUUAGCGGCGGACGGGUGAGUAACACGUGGAUAACCUACCUCUAAGACUGGGAUAACUUCGUGAAACCGGAGCUAAUACCGGCUAAUAUUUUCAACGGCAUGGUUCAAAAGUUAAAGACAGUCUUGCUGUCUCUUAUAGAUGGAUCCGCGCUGCAUUAGCUAGUUGGUAAGGUAACGGCUUACCAAGGCAACGAUGCAUAGCCGAUCUGAGAGGGUGAUCGGCCACACUGGAACUGAGACACGGUCCAGACUCCUACGGGAGGCAGCAGUAGGGAAUCUUGCGCAAUGGGCGCAAGCCUGACGGAGCAACGCCGCGUGAGUGAAGAAGGUCUUCGGAUCGUAAAACUCUGUUAUUAGGGAAGAAAAGCUGUGUAAGAAAACGUGGAUAUUCUGACGGUACCUAAAGAGAAAGCACCGGCUAACUUCGUG
RNAcentral lists this ribosomal RNA (497 nucleotides) under uncultured bacterium. RNAcentral describes it as "partial 16S ribosomal RNA". It matches the Rfam family "Bacterial small subunit ribosomal RNA", at positions 28 to 507 of the family's 1533-position model. The record is from RNAcentral.